RNAcentral lists this ribosomal RNA (496 nucleotides) under uncultured bacterium. RNAcentral describes it as "partial 16S ribosomal RNA". It matches the Rfam family "Bacterial small subunit ribosomal RNA", at positions 29 to 507 of the family's 1533-position model. The record is from RNAcentral.
AUGAACGCUGGCGGCGUGCCUAAUACAUGCAAGUCGAGCGAACGGACGAGAAGCUUGCUUUUCUGAUGUUAGCGGCGGACGGGUGAGUAACACGUGGCUAACCUACCUAUAAUACUGUGAUAACUUCGGGAAACCGGAUCUAAUUUCGGAUAAUAUUUUGCACCGCAUGGUUCAAAAGUGAAAGACGGUCUUGCUGUCACUUAUAGAUGGAUCCGCGCUGCAUUAGCUAGUUGGUAAGGUAACGGCUUACCAAGGCAACGAUGCAUAGCCGACCUGAGAGGGGGAUCGGCCACACUGGAACUGAGACACGGUCCAGACUCCUACGGGAGGCAGCAGUAGGGAAUAUUCCGCAAUGGGCGAAAGCCUGACGGAGCAACGCCGCGUGAGUGAUGAAGGUCUUCGGAUCGUAAAACUCUGUUAUUAGGGAAGAACAUAUGUGUAAGUAACUGUGCACAUCUUGACGGUACCUAAUCAGAAAGCCACGGCUAACUACGUG